UGCCCUUUGUACACACCGCCCGUC
This 24-nucleotide non-coding RNA is filed under the name Arabidopsis thaliana (thale cress). RNAcentral also lists the same sequence under 7 other names. Lineage: Eukaryota; Viridiplantae; Streptophyta; Magnoliopsida; Brassicales; Brassicaceae. The record is from RNAcentral.